AUCUUGAAAACGGAAAAUAAAAACAGCAGACCUAUGAAGGUCAAAGGGGAAGUUAAGAAAAGCUGUAUCGAUUGUUGAGAUCUGGCGACUUGCUUAAAUUUCAUCAGCCUCACUUCUAUGGACUCUCAGAGCUGAUUACCAACUCCUACCACUGUUAACCCUCAUCCAGGAACAAGCUUAUGUCUUUAACAUUCUGAGUGGGCUUCAGCAUCCUUGCAUAUGUUCAAUUCUUAAAAACCUGUUGAAAUAAAAGAUCAGGAGACAUAGGAGGGAUGCCAGAAGACAGCGUGGCCUCACGUGUACCAGCUCUCUGCUCUCCUUUGCCUUGGGACGUUCCAUCCCUGGAAGUUUCCCUGCCCACAUCUUUGUAGAGAGUCCAUUCUCCAAGCUUCAGUGUGUCAUCUGUUAGGACUAUGACCCACCUGGUACAUUACCUCAGGGCAUUCAUUUCAGGCUCCUUCUAAGUGGUCAAGUCUUCUGUCAGCCUAACAAGCAUAGCAAGAAGAUAUAGCCCCACAACCACUUUAUGCACAUAGUUAGAAGCAUAAAAUCUCAUGGAAAGAGACCGAUUAUCCACAGAAGAUGUUGUCUUGCCAUUUCUCUCAUGUUAGAGGUAAACCUCAGGUUCUCCUCCUGCCUUUUGCUAAGUAUAUGUCUUGAUGACAAGCCUUCUGCUAAUGAGCUGUGUUUCUGGACCGAUCAUGGUAGAAGUCAAUUGAAGUGUCCCUCACUUGGGGUUUCUUAAGGCUGCACUGAUGAGGAAACUGAAACAGAAAAUCCAGAGUAAAUUCCACCAGGCCACACAGCAAGGUCUGAUAGAGCCAGGAGAGACUUUAUGAAAUCCAGACUCUCACACUAAUGCUCUAUCAGCUAGACCUCCAUGUGAGU
Molecule: long non-coding RNA, 888 nt
Filed under: Pongo abelii (Sumatran orangutan)
Lineage: Eukaryota; Metazoa; Chordata; Mammalia; Primates; Hominidae
Description: lincRNA
Source: RNAcentral